ACUAUUCUUAAUUUCAAGCAUGUUAUGUGAUUUAUAGACACUUGAUGAUUUACAUGAAAUUAAAAUAGUAUGAAAUUGGUAAGGGUAUUCCGAAAAUAAAAGUGUGACAUCCCAAGUGCUAAUUAAGGGAAAUGAGUGUCAGAUAUAGAUUCAGAAUAACGAGUGCAUGAUAAAAUUUAUGCAGCAGAACAAAAUCACUACAAAUCCCUU
This 210-nucleotide long non-coding RNA is filed under the name Carica papaya (papaya). Its description in RNAcentral is "long non-coding RNA (CPAP_LNC013232)". The record is from RNAcentral. Lineage: Eukaryota; Viridiplantae; Streptophyta; Magnoliopsida; Brassicales; Caricaceae.